GAUAUAAACAAAUUGACUAAAUUGGGGUUAAAACCAGAGAUCCCGAGAGUGAAGUCCCGAGUUUUCCCAAAAGCUCAUCUCAUCUCUAACUAACACACAUGACCAACAGCCUCCAAACAAUCCCAUUGUCUGCAUUUCAGGCAUACGAGUCAGCGCUGCUUAAAUACUUAAGACAACUGUUGUUCACUGACCCACCGUGUGACAGCUGCUGUUCGCGGCGAGAGUAUUUGACAGAGUAAACUUGUCAGAAUUAACUUUACAUUGAUGUGACAAAGUAAAAAGGCGAGGAUGUGGAAAAACAACUGCAAAUACAUACGCACUAUAAAAGUUCGCACAACAACACUACCACUACAACAACAACAACUACUUCCACUACAGACAGUUAGACGCACUUUUUUCAGACACAACAACCGCCGAUUCCAGCGGGUGCUAUUGACACCGGCAUUGAUAUGCGCUACGCGUCGCUAUGUGGCCAAGUGAUAAACAGAUGUACAUCCAGUUGCAGCUGUUGUCGCUGAUAUUUAGUUAGUUGCACGUUUCCGUGAAUAAAUCCUACUUGAGGUUGAUAUAAACACCAAUAAGGUUGCGGUUAAUUAGUUAACAGCAAGCAAGAAAUGGAGAAGAGUCAUAGUCGCUUUCCGGAUUUGGUGCACUGCUGGUGUUCUCAGCGCAUAUUAAUUGAGUAAACAUAAAUGUUGUUUAAAAUUUAAAUGAGUUUCGAACUUUUUGGGAUCUGUUACUAACUUAACCGAGUUUUUAUGAAGAAUCUCGAAGAUAGAAAAUUAUCAGAGGUUGCUUCUGAACAAAGAAAGCAAGGAGUUUACUCUGAGGUUAUUACAAAUCGUUCUUAACAUUUUUUUAUGAACUUGUGAAACAGUUAUGAGUUUUAGUGGACAACCAAGUCUAAAGGCGGUUUUCUUUAAUUUAAUUGCUGUUUUUAACUGUAUUUUUUAUAUUUUUGGAUCUAUUACUAAAUCAACGAGUUUGUAAAUAUAAAGAAUGGAGAGGAAAGAAAUUAUUAGAGGCUACGUCUGAACAAAGAAAGUAAGGACAGAGUAAUUAGAAAUCGUUCUUAAAAUUUUUUAUGAACUUGUGGAACUAGACAACCAAGUCUAAAGGUGAGUACACGCCUCUCUCCAUUCCUCUCCAUUCUUUAUAUUUACAAACUCAUUGAUUUAGGAAUAGAAUCAAUUCAAAGAUAUGUCAAACUUUAAGGCUUUGAAAUAUUAUUUUUCAUCCCAUCUGUCGUCGUUUUUGAAAAUGAGUACAGGUAGAUUUCAUAUUUAUCAAACUUCGGACAUUUUCAGAUCUAUCUUUACCUAAGAUAUGAAUGAUAAGAACCUUUCGUUUUACAACUACAAUACUAUGUAAGAGAAUACUAUGUACAACUGAGAGACGAGUUCUGAUUGAUUCUGAUUCUGAAGCUAUUAAAAACGAUUUUAUAACAAAGGUGCUGAAACUCUGAUCUUAUAAAUCAAGAUUAGCAAUCCAUUGAGUAACUCAGAAGAGGUACGACCUAUUGGUAGAUAAACAUGUGAAGAGAAUGUAAGCUAAAAUCUUAAAGAAAAAGAUAUCCUACAUAACCUAUAUAUAGAUCUAAGCUUUGUAAGAAAAUGAAAGAGACAUCCUACAGACCCUUUAUAUAGAUUUAAGCUUGGUAGUAAGUGCGAAUCCCAGUUGCAUUGUUUAAAUCAAGUUUGCGUAGAAUAAAUUAGACUAAACAAUUCCUAUAGGUAGUAGGGAACUUCAUCCGAAGAAUCAGUAGUAAAUAAUUAUAUAUCAACAUAUUUCUAACCUCACUUUCAGACUCAAAUAUAAUCUUCAACAAUUUUUUGUAAAGGUUUGCCCAGAGAGUGCAUUUACUGGGCGUUGCAAACACAGCUACUGAGAAAAGAUUGACAUAAAUAUCACCACGAACCAACUAAAUUACAAUAAGACUACACAAAUAGCUGAAUAUAUUUAGCAAACCGCAAAAAAACUUAAAUGAAAUCACAUUAGUUCGCUGUGCUUAUGAAUGAGAGAGAUCAUUUGGAUUUCUACCCGUAAUUAGGCACGUUUUGCAAAUUGAAGAUCGCGACAAUAAACUAUGCUAACAAGUUUAACACUCCCCAAUAAGCCAAUAAAUGCCAAUUAAAAAUCACAACCGUACAAAAAACAACAGCCAACAAAACGUCACGUCUACCAAUAUAACAACAAAAACAAAGUUUUAAGUUUAUUUACAACAAAUAGAAGCAAGUUUUUAGAGCGCUUUGUGGCGCAUUGAAUGCAAAAGUCAUGUCAAUUGAGCAGCUGCGCAGCGGCAACAAGGCGCGACAUUUACAUAUUUAAGCCGUACAAUAAUUAAACAAAUAAUUAAAUAUGGUUGAGGCGACAACAAAUAUUAAAAACACCAACUAGUGGCAUUUUGAGUUGUCGUGAAAAGCAAUUAACGCGCAGCCACUUGGUGCACAGACAGGGAGAGAGGCAUUGUAGAGAGGAGGGGGAAAAUACAAAAUAAAUAUAUUUAAACGAGUUAGUUGGUAGCGAUUUGUGUAAAUAUUAGUAGUAACUGUCUAAACAUGUAAAUUCGCUUAUGUCGAGCGCUAGGCACUUACUGCAUAAAUAAUAGUAUGAGCUGUACAUUGUUGUUGACUAUUAUAGUUAAUGUACAUAAAUCACUUGAAAGUACGUGGAGAUAAGUUGGUAAAUAUAUUACAUCCCUGUUUGCUUUAAUAAUUAUCAAAUACAACUCUGUAUACUAAACCAAAAUUUUCAAAAAUGGAAAUAAACUAUUUUUGUUUAGAAAAAAUAUCAAAAGUAAUAAAUUAGAUACAAAA
Long non-coding RNA from Zeugodacus cucurbitae (melon fly), 2816 nucleotides. RefSeq lists it as uncharacterized. The transcript is spliced from 3 exons. Lineage: Eukaryota; Metazoa; Arthropoda; Insecta; Diptera; Tephritidae. The record is from RefSeq and is a predicted model, not a curated record.